AGUGAACGCUGGCGGUAGGCCUAACACAUGCAAGUCGAACGGCAGCACAGUAAGAGCUUGCUCUUACGGGUGGCGAGUGGCGGACGGGUGAGGAAUACAUCGGAAUCUACUUUUUCGUGGGGGAUAACGUAGGGAAACUUACGCUAAUACCGCAUACGACCUACGGGUGAAAGCAGCGGAUCUUCGGACCUUGCGCGAUUGAAUGAGCCGAUGUCGGAUUAGCUAGUUGGGGGGGUACAGGCCCACCAAGGCGAGGAUCCGCAGCGGGUCUGAGAGGAGGAUCGGCCACACGGGAACUGGGACACGGGCCGGACUCCUACGGGAGGCAGCAGUGGGGAAUAUGGGACAAUGGGCGCAAGCCUGAUCCAGCCAUACCGCGUGGGUGAAGAAGGCCUUCGGGUUGUAAAGCCCUUUUGUUGGGAAAGAAAAGCAGCAGGUUAAUACCCCGCUGUUCUGACGGUACCCAAAGAAUAAGCACCGGCUAACUUCGUG
This 492-nucleotide ribosomal RNA is filed under the name uncultured bacterium. Its description in RNAcentral is "partial 16S ribosomal RNA". It matches the Rfam family "Bacterial small subunit ribosomal RNA", at positions 29 to 507 of the family's 1533-position model. The record is from RNAcentral.